Small nucleolar RNA from Theobroma cacao (cacao), 107 nucleotides. It matches the Rfam family "Plant small nucleolar RNA R71". From Rfam's summary of the family: R71 is a member of the C/D box family of snoRNAs containing the C (UGAUGA) and D (CUGA) box motifs. Multiple nearly identical copies of this snoRNA have been identified in Arabidopsis, and it is thought to function as a 2'-O-ribose methylation guide for 18S ribosomal RNA. Lineage: Eukaryota; Viridiplantae; Streptophyta; Magnoliopsida; Malvales; Malvaceae. The record is from Rfam.
AAUCCAUGGUGAGGACAUCUUCUCAUCAAAUCCUUAUACCUUUCCUAAGCUUCAUAUAGUGAUUUAGAAUCAAAUUGCAUGAAAGAAGUAAUAGCAUUCCGCAUCUU